RNAcentral lists this ribosomal RNA (465 nucleotides) under Vreelandella stevensii. RNAcentral's name for it is "partial 16S ribosomal RNA". It matches the Rfam family "Bacterial small subunit ribosomal RNA", at positions 338 to 795 of the family's 1533-position model. The record is from RNAcentral. Lineage: Bacteria; Pseudomonadati; Pseudomonadota; Gammaproteobacteria; Oceanospirillales; Halomonadaceae.
CCUACGGGAGGCAGCAGUGGGGAAUAUUGGACAAUGGGGGGAACCCUGAUCCAGCCAUGCCGCGUGUGUGAAGAAGGCCCUCGGGUUGUAAAGCACUUUCAGUGAGGAAGAACGCCUGGUGGUGAAUACCCAUCAGGAAAGACAUCACUCACAGAAGAAGCACCGGCUAACUCCGUGCCAGCAGCCGCGGUAAUACGGAGGGUGCGAGCGUUAAUCGGAAUUACUGGGCGUAAAGCGCGCGUAGGUGGCUUGAUAAGCCGGUUGUGAAAGCCCCGGGCUCAACCUGGGAACGGCAUCCGGAACUGUCAAGCUAGAGUGCAGGAGAGGAAGGUAGAAUUCCCGGUGUAGCGGUGAAAUGCGUAGAGAUCGGGAGGAAUACCAGUGGCGAAGGCGGCCUUCUGGACUGACACUGACACUGAGGUGCGAAAGCGUGGGUAGCAAACAGGAUUAGAUACCCUUGUAGUC